This 69-nucleotide transfer RNA is filed under the name Massicus raddei. RNAcentral's name for it is "tRNA-Ser". The record is from RNAcentral. Lineage: Eukaryota; Metazoa; Arthropoda; Insecta; Coleoptera; Cerambycidae.
AGGAAAUAUGUGAUUCAAGAAUAGGCUUCUAACCGUUUUCUUAAGCGAUGAAACUUCUUUUAUAUUUCU